Oncorhynchus gorbuscha (pink salmon) is the source of this 207-nucleotide long non-coding RNA. RefSeq lists it as uncharacterized. The transcript is spliced from 3 exons. NCBI's taxonomy places the organism in Eukaryota, Metazoa, Chordata, Actinopteri, Salmoniformes, Salmonidae. The record is from RefSeq and is a predicted model, not a curated record.
AGGGAGGCAGAGACCUGGACAGGGAGAGAGAGGAGUGGGAGAGACGGAGGCAGGAGAUGGAAAGAGAGAGCGGAAGACAAGGAGAGUACGAGGAGGAAGGAGGAGUAAGACCCUAUCCAGGGUCAGAAUAUGACUAUUUGAAGGGCGCUCCGGGUGAAAAUGGACUUCCGGGACCGAAGGGGGAACUUGGUGAAAAGGGACACAAGG